RNAcentral lists this transfer RNA (582 nucleotides) under Candidatus Competibacter phosphatis. Its description in RNAcentral is "16S-23S ribosomal RNA intergenic spacer". The stretch from base 57 to 130 matches the Rfam family "tRNA". Lineage: Bacteria; Pseudomonadati; Pseudomonadota; Gammaproteobacteria; Candidatus Competibacteraceae. The record is from RNAcentral.
AAAGACGGCCGAUUGGCCCACGAACCCCCCCCAACAACCUCAGAAAAGCCGAGCGCGGGUCUGUAGCUCAGGCGGUUAGAGCGCACCCCUGAUAAGGGUGAAGUCGGUGGUUCGAGUCCACCCAGACCCACCAACCGUGGGGCCAUAGCUCAGCUGGGAGAGCAUCGGCUUUGCAAGCCGGGGGUCGGCGGUUCGAACCCGCCUGGCUCCACCAUCCCUCGCUCGGAACAACGUGGCUCAGUCAGCGUUCGAUUUACGACUCAACCUGACUCGAUUCGAUACCCCAAGCAUUACUUGGGCCGUACGGACUAAACCGGUUGACUAACCGCUUUAGAACGUCCUCAAAGGGUAAAAGCAACGCUUGUGGUAUCGGCUUGAAGCCGAUGUUUAACCUGAUAGAUCAUCUAAUCAGGCUAAACCUGCUCUUUAACAAUGUGGAAGGUGCAAUAGAGUGAUAGCGCACGUUUAAGCCAAAUCCAACAUCGUUGGAUCGGUGAUACGACGUGUGCGAGUUAGUGAAGUAAAACGGGUAGCAGUAAAAAGCAAGACGACCAGCCACCCUCCAAAGGGGUUGGGGUUGGC